UUGAUCCUACGGGACGCAGUAGUGAGGAAUAUUGGUCAAUGGGCGGAAGCCUGAACCAGCCAAGUCGCGUGAGGGAAUAAGGCCCUACGGGUCGUAAACCUCUUUUGCCGGGGAGCAAGGGCCGGGACGAGUCCCGGUCCGGAGAGUACCCGGAGAAAAAGCAUCGGCUAACUCCGUGCCAGCAGCCGCGGUAAUACGUAGGUGGCAAGCGUUAUCCGGAUUUACUGGGUGUAAAGGGCGUGUAGGCGGGCCUGCAAGUCAGAUGUGAAAAUUAUGGGCUCAACCCAAAACCUGCAUUUGAAACU
This 305-nucleotide ribosomal RNA is filed under the name uncultured bacterium. RNAcentral's name for it is "bacterial SSU rRNA". It matches the Rfam family "Bacterial small subunit ribosomal RNA", at positions 333 to 634 of the family's 1533-position model. The record is from RNAcentral.